Molecule: long non-coding RNA, 523 nt
Organism: Pocillopora damicornis (cauliflower coral)
Lineage: Eukaryota; Metazoa; Cnidaria; Anthozoa; Scleractinia; Pocilloporidae
Source: RefSeq, a predicted model, not a curated record
ACUAGGACUUGCAAUGGACAAGAUAGGAAACAAACUCAAGAUUCGGAAAUUUAUGAAUCGAUAUCCGAAGACCUUCCUCGAGGCUGAGUUUCCAAGAAACGUUUCCGGGCGAACUGGCCAUUAAAGCAAACAUUCAAGCAAAAAGUCCAAGGCUGGAUCUCCAUAAGAAGGGGACAAAGAAACGUUAGUGGUGACAAGAACGAACUUUAUGAACAAUAUGGUAUUCGACUUUUUGCAAACUGACGACCGAAACAAAGGAAGAAGAGGAAAGGGAAAUAAGUAACGUUAUUAACAACUCGCAAAUACACGACAGUCUUAGGUCGUGCUUUUUUAGAAAAAUUUAUUUCAGUAUUACAGAUCGAACGAGCUGAAAAAAAAUCAUUAGCUGACCCACAAAAAUAGCAAAUUUUUAAAACUUCAGUGUUCUGCAAUUUAUGACAACACAAUUUUGUAAGGAAAAUUUUACUAGAGGACUUGUAUGCGUAUGAAACGUUUUAGUUCAUUAAAUAAUGCUCUGUGAAUA